GAUGAACGCUGGCGGCGUGCCUAAUACAUGCAAGUCGAGCGAACAGACGAGGAGCUUGCUCCUCUGACGUUAGCGGCGGACGGGUGAGUAACACGUGGAUAACCUACCUAUAAGACUGGGAUAACUUCGGGAAACCGGAGCUAAUACCGGAUAAUAUAUUGAACCGCAUGGUUCAAUAGUGAAAGACGGUUUUGCUGUCACUUAUAGAUGGAUCCGCGCCGCAUUAGCUAGUUGGUAAGGUAACGGCUUACCAAGGCAACGAUGCGUAGCCGACCUGAGAGGGUCGAGGCCCACCCGGGAAGUGAGACGGGGCCCAGCCACCUGGGGGGGGCAGCGGGGGGGACUCUUCCGAAAGGGAGGAGAGCGUGAGGGGGCACCCCGGGGUGAGGAAUGAAGGUGUACGGAUGAAAAAACUCUGUAGUAGGGAAAGAAAAAAUGUGUAAUUAACAGGGCACGUCUUGACGGUACCAAAACAAAAAGCCACGGCUAACUCCGUG
RNAcentral lists this ribosomal RNA (497 nucleotides) under uncultured bacterium. Its description in RNAcentral is "partial 16S ribosomal RNA". It matches the Rfam family "Bacterial small subunit ribosomal RNA", at positions 28 to 507 of the family's 1533-position model. The record is from RNAcentral.